UACGGAGGGUGCAAGCGUUAAUCGGAAUUACUGGGCGUAAAGCGUGCGUAGGCGGUUCGUUAAGUCUGUUGUGAAAGCCCCGGGCUCAACCUGGGAAUGGCAAUGGAUACUGGCGAGCUAGAGUGUGUCAGAGGAUGGUGGAAUUCCCGGUGUAGCGGUGAAAUGCGUAGAGAUCGGGAGGAACAUCAGUGGCGAAGGCGGCCAUCUGGGGACAACACUGACGCUGAGGCACGAAAGCGUGGGGAGCAAACAGG
RNAcentral lists this ribosomal RNA (254 nucleotides) under uncultured bacterium. RNAcentral describes it as "partial 16S ribosomal RNA". It matches the Rfam family "Bacterial small subunit ribosomal RNA", at positions 524 to 776 of the family's 1533-position model. The record is from RNAcentral.